Molecule: ribosomal RNA, 253 nt
Filed under: uncultured bacterium
Lineage: Bacteria
Description: partial 16S ribosomal RNA
Rfam family: Bacterial small subunit ribosomal RNA
Source: RNAcentral
UACGUAGGGUGCAAGCGUUAAUCGGAAUUACUGGGCGUAAAGCGUGCGCAGGCGGUUUUGUAAGUCUGUCGUGAAAGCCCCGGGCUCAACCUGGGAAUUGCGAUGGAGACUGCAAGGCUAGAGUUUGGCAGAGGGGGGUAGAAUUCCACGUGUAGCAGUGAAAUGCGUAGAUAUGUGGAGGAACACCGAUGGCGAAGGCAGCCCCCUGGGUCAAAACUGACGCUCAUGCACGAAAGCGUGGGGAGCAAACAGG